GUCGAGCGGGCGUAUGUCAUAUCGUCAGCGGCAGACGGGUGAGUAACGCGUGGGAACGUACCUUUUGGUUCGGAACAACUGAGGGAAACUUGUGCUAAUACCGGAUAAGCCCUUACGGGGAAAGAUUUAUCGCCGAAAGAUCGGCCCGCGUCUGAUUAGCUAGUUGGUGAGGUAACGGCCCACCAAGGCGACGAUCAGUAGCUGGUCUGAGAGGAUGAUCAGCCACAUUGGGACUGAGACACGGCCCAAACUCCUACGGGAGGCAGCAGUGGGGAAUAUUGGACAAUGGGGGCAACCCUGAUCCAGCCAUGCCGCGUGAGUGAUGAAGGCCCUAGGGUUGUAAAGCUCUUUUGUGCGGGAAGAUAAUGACGGUACCGCAAGAAUAAGCCCCGGCUAACUUCGUGCCAGCAGCCGCGGUAAUACGAAGGGGGCUAGCGUUGCUCGGAAUCACUGGGCGUAAAGGGUGCGUAGGCGGGUCUUUAAGUCAGGGGUGAAAUCCUGGAGCUCAACUCCAGAACUGCCUUUGAUACUGAAGAUCUUGAGUUCGGGAGAGGUGAGUGGAACUGCGAGUGUAGAGGUGAAAUUCGUAGAUAUUCGCAAGAACACCAGUGGCGAAGGCGGCUCACUGGCCCGAUACUGACGCUGAGGCACGAAAGCGUGGGGAGCAAACAGGAUUAGAUACCCUGGUAGUCCACGCCGUAAACGAUGAAUGCCAGCCGUUAGUGGGUUUACUCACUAGUGGCGCAGCUAACGCUUUAAGCAUUCCGCCUGGGGAGUACGGUCGCAAGAUUAAAACUCAAAGGAAUUGACGGGGGCCCGCACAAGCGGUGGAGCAUGUGGUUUAAUUUGACGCAACGCGCAGAACCUUACCAGCCCUUGACAUCUCCAUCGCCGGUUCCAGAGAGGUAUCUUUUUAUUUGGAGCGCCCCGGACACAUGUUGCACAUGUGUGUUCUCAUCUUGUGUUGAGAGAUUGGGGUAAAUCUCGCACAGAGAGCGCCACCCCUCUCCUUAUGUUCUCCCUUUUAUGAGCACUCUAAAAAGAGACCCGCGGAUAAAACCCGAGAGGGGGGGGGGGAUCGUCUCAUCUCCUCGGCCCCCUCGCGGGGUGGGACACACGCGUUACACUAUGGGGGUCACUAGGAUAUUAUAAGGGGACCCCUUUCAAAUAUUUCAAAAAGCUCUCUCAUUUGGGUGGGGUCUGCACCUCUAGACCCCAAGAUGUUGGUCUCUAUAGUUAUUGUGGAACCACACCCCGCGGAAAAUGCGUUCCCGCCCCGUGUACACCCCCCCCCUCACCCCAUGGGAUUUGGUUUCCCGAAAAGGGUGUGCUAUACACCAAAGGAGGCAGCCGGCCACGGUAGGGUCAGCGACUGGGG
Molecule: ribosomal RNA, 1378 nt
Filed under: Bradyrhizobium elkanii
Lineage: Bacteria; Pseudomonadati; Pseudomonadota; Alphaproteobacteria; Hyphomicrobiales; Nitrobacteraceae
Description: bacterial SSU rRNA
Rfam family: Bacterial small subunit ribosomal RNA
Source: RNAcentral